CCGCAUGGGCUUGUCCCGCGGCGGACCAUUCAAGUUUCUGCCCCAUCAUGCUUUCGAUGGUAGUGUAUUGGACUACCAUGGCUUUCACGGGUAACGGAGGAUUAGGGUUCGAUUCCGGAGAGGGAGCCUGAGAAACGGCUACCACUUCCACGGAAGGCAGCAGGCGCGUAAAUUACCCAAUCCUGACUCAGGGAGGUAGUGACAAGAAAUAAUGGGUCGGGGUUUCACCCCGGGACUGCAAUGAGAUGAAUCUAGACCCCUUAUCGAGGACCAAUUGGAGGGCAAGUCUGGUGCCAGCAGCCGCGGUAAUUCCAGCUCCAAUAGCGUAUAUUAAAGUUGUUGCAGUUAAAAAGCUCGUAGUUGGAUUUCUGGUCGGGGGUUAGGGCGCACUGUCGUGAUGCCCGCGUCUUCGGCCAUCCUUCUGUUAACCCUUCAGGGCGUUCGUUCGUCGGUUGGGGGCUCAGAUAUUUUACCUUGAGAAAAUUAGAGUGUUUCAGGCAGGCUUGUGCCCGGAUACAUUAGCAUGGAAUAAUGGAAUAGGACUUUAGCCUCUUCUGUUGGUCUGAGGGGUUGGAGUGAUGAUUAAUAGGGAUAGUUGGGGGCAUUAGUACUUAACUGUCAGAGGUGAAAUUCUCGGAUUUGUUAAAGACUAACUUAUGCGAAAGCAUUUGCCAAGGAUGUUUUCAUUAAUCAAGAACGAAAGUUAGGGGAUCAAAGACGAUCAGAUACCGUCCUAGUCUUAACCAUAAACUAUGCCGACUCGGGAUCGGGGGCCAGAGUUAACUGCCUUCGGCACCGUAUGAGAAAUCAAAGUCUUUGGU
Molecule: ribosomal RNA, 821 nt
Filed under: uncultured Tintinnida
Lineage: Eukaryota; Ciliophora; Spirotrichea; Tintinnida
Description: SSU rRNA
Rfam family: Eukaryotic small subunit ribosomal RNA
Source: RNAcentral